GAUGAAGAACGUAGCGAAAUGCGAUAAGUAAUGCGAAUUGUAGAAUUCCAGUGAGUCAUCGAAUCUUUGAACGCACAUUGCGCCCUUUGGUAUUCCGAAGGGCAUGCCUGUUCGAGCGUCAUUAUCACCCCUCAAGCCCUCGGCUUGGUGUUGGACGGUUUGGUGGAGGCCCCCUCGGGGGCUCCUGCCCCUCCCAAAGACAAUGACGGCGGCCUCGUUGGACCCCCGGUACACUGAGUUCUUCACGGGACACGUAUCGGACACAUGGGUUUACGGGACACGGUCUGCCUCCCCUCAGGGAGAAUCUUUCUAAGGUUGACCUCGGAUCAGGUAGGGAUACCCGCUGAACUUAAGCAUAUCAAUAAGCGGAGGA
RNAcentral lists this unclassified non-coding RNA (373 nucleotides) under soil metagenome. Its description in RNAcentral is "partial contains 5.8S ribosomal RNA, internal transcribed spacer 2, and large subunit ribosomal RNA". The stretch from base 1 to 121 matches the Rfam family "5.8S ribosomal RNA", at positions 35 to 154 of the family's 154-position model. The record is from RNAcentral.